GCGGUGAUGACAUUCUUAUUAAAGCAUGUAUUAGACUGCUGACAAGGGUGAUGUGAACUGGAGUCUGAGC
RNAcentral lists this small nucleolar RNA (70 nucleotides) under Chinchilla lanigera (long-tailed chinchilla). RNAcentral's name for it is "Small nucleolar RNA SNORD104 (ENSCLAG00000020430.1)". It matches the Rfam family "Small nucleolar RNA SNORD104". Rfam says of the family: The members of this family belong to the C/D class of snoRNAs which contain the C (UGAUGA) and D (CUGA) box motifs. Most of the members of the box C/D family function in directing site-specific 2'-O-methylation of substrate RNAs. Lineage: Eukaryota; Metazoa; Chordata; Mammalia; Rodentia; Chinchillidae. The record is from Rfam by way of RNAcentral.